Molecule: long non-coding RNA, 3273 nt
Organism: Camelus dromedarius (Arabian camel)
Lineage: Eukaryota; Metazoa; Chordata; Mammalia; Artiodactyla; Camelidae
Exons: 5
Source: RefSeq, a predicted model, not a curated record
GUCUUCCCUGGGGGCGACGCUCCUUUUCCUCAGGGCGGAGCGGGCGGCGCCAUGGCGGCUUCGGGACAGCGUGGCCCUCGUUCCUGCAGGAGGAGGACGCUCCUCGCUCGCUGUCUGAGAUCCAAGUCACUUUCUGACACUGAGAGUAAACAAGGGGAAAGGCCUUAUAGCCAUUUGAAUAUGUUCAGCCAUGAAGUGAAACAGACUCACUGAAUUCUGAGUCCUGAGAGACAGUGACCCAGGACACAGCCCUACCACCUGGUUGUUCUUAGCAGAGAAAGCCUCACAAAGAUGUUGUGAAAGCCUCACAAAGAUAUCAAGCCCUGGAUAUCAGCCAUCACCUGGGCCAAGUUCUGAAAAUCAGCAUGAAGUCCUGGCAAAGGAUCUGGCCAUUUGACCUCUUGAUAUAUAUCCACAGGAGAUAGCAGAAGAAGAUACCAGGGACAAAAGAAAGGAAGUACCUGAUCCAUCAAGAGAUGCAGAGCGAGAGGAGAAAAUACCACUCCGGCAAAGAGAAACUGCAUCUGCUCCUGCAGGAGACCAAGGGCUGGGCCCCAAUCCACCAGCAAAGUAGGGACCUGUGAGCUGAGUCCAAUUGCUCUAGCCCUGCGAGGAGACCCCAUUCCUACUACUGCAGGAGAAACAGGGCUGACAGCCCUACAGGGAGCCCAUGAGCCUUCUUCUGCAGGAGAACCAGAGCCAGUCGCAUUCCACCAGACAUGGAGGGAAUGCCUGAGGUUGCUUUGCAGGAAAUCAAGGAUUUGGCUCCAUUCCACCACCCCUGCAGAGACACAGAGAGCCUUCACCUGCAGGGAACACAGAGCCAGGUCACAUUCCUCAAGCCCCAUUGUGAGACCUCAAACAUGCUCCUGGGGAGACACACAGGUGGGCAACAUUACACCACCCCUGCAGGAAGACCCCAAGCCAGCAUCUGCAAGAGACUCAGGAAUGGGACCAAUUCCAACAGCCCUGCAAGGAGACCCUGAGCCUGUUGAAUUCCAUCAGUCCAACAAGGGGAAACCAAGAUUGCUUUGGCAGGAGACUCAGAGCCAGGUACUGGUCAAUCAGCCUUGCAAGGAGACCCCAAGCCUCCACCUGCAUGAGAUCCAGGACUGGGACCAAUUCCACUAGCCCUGUAGGGAGACCCCGAGCCUGCUUCUGCAGGAGAACCAGAGAUAGGUCGUAUUUCAGCAACCCUGCAGGAAGACCCAAGACCUGCAACUGCAGGAGACCAAAGAACAGGUCCAAUUCCACCAGCCUUGUAAAGAGAGUCUGAGCCUGUUUCUGCAGGAGACACAGAGUCGAGUGAAGUUUCAAAACCUUGAAGGGAGACCCUGAGCCUGCUGCUGCAGGAGAAGCAGGAUCACGUCUCAUUCCACUAGCCCUGCAGGGAGACCCUGAGCCAACUCCUGAAGGAGACACACAGCCAACCCCUGCAGGAGAACCAUUACUGGGACCCAUUCCACCAACCCUGUAGUGAUACCUGAGGCUGCACCUGAGAAAAAUAAAGAGCCAUGUCACAUUCCACCAGUCCUGCAGGGAGACCCUGAGCCUGCUUCUGCGGCUCCUCCUGCACCUACACCUGCACCUCUAGACAACACAGAGCCAAUUCAGGCAUCACCAGCCCCACGGGCUGAGCUCUGCAACCACCAACGCUGUCAUCUCCUAAUUCACAAAAUCAACCCACUCCCCGACACGAAGUUAAAUUCCCUUCUCUGGUAUCGUUUUCGUUUGUUUUUUUCUGUAAUUUCCUUCUAUUCUUUCAUGUCAUUUACAGCAUCAGCUUUUUGUAAGUUUUAAGUUUACAAUAAUAAAAUUUAGGGUUUUUUUUCCAUUUUAAAUUUUGCAAUUCAGGAGCAUAAAGUGCAUUCACAGUACUGUCGAACAUCACCACUGUCUAGUUUCAGACUAUUUGUUUCCUCAAAAUAAAGCCCUGUAUCCAAAACACACACUCCCCUUCCUCCCUCCCCCAGGUCCUGACCAGCCCUAAUCCCCUUUCUCUCUCUGUAUUUACCUAUUCAGGAUGUUCCCUAUUGAUGAUGUCAUACAAAAGGUAGCUGUUUGUGUUUGCCUACAUAUUUUAACCAGGGAAUGUUGAAUAUUUCUUUUUGGUUGUUUUAUUUGAAAUAGCAUUUUAGUCAUUUAAAAGGGCAAUCCAUGUGGAUUAAAGAUGAGGUAUACACAGUGAAGCUGUUUUAGUAACUAUGUGCCUAAUCUCAGGAUAGGUUCUGCAGUUCUACGUAUGAAACCAGAGUCAGAAGGAAGAUGCUUAGUUCUUUCUGUGAGAAAAUAGAACCAAACAAAACCAACCAACAAACAAAAGCCAAGAAAGACAGCUGAGAAGACAAACCAAAACCUAGAAAACUCAUUUCUCAUAACCCAAGGUUGGAGAAAGGUUUCACAUCCCUGUGGUCAAAAAACAUCUCAAAACCCAGUGUUCUAAAUAGAAAUAGAACAAACACAUGCAGUUCCACCGAGAGGCAAUGCAGGUGGCCAGUUUAUGUUAGAGAUGCUCGGCUUCUCAGGUAAGGACACGUGCAGACAUAAGCACUCUGGAGACAGCAUUGGUCACCAUCACACUGUCAGGUUUUCAGCCUGGUGAUAACCAGCUGUAGUGAAAACAUGAGGAGGCUGAGGACCCAGUAGAUGUCCUGGAGGGAAGAGUGAGCUGACACUUCUCUCUGGGAGAAGUGUGCAGGAUGCAUGAAAGUUCAACAGGUGUAUCCCUUUUCCAGCAGUGCUGAUCCUAAUUGUUGAUUCCACUAAAAUUCUUGCACAAUUUCUCAAAGAUGUUUUUUAAGGAUAUUUAUCAGAGUCCUGGGUAAACUAGUAGCAAAUUGGAAGCCACACUAAUCUUCAUGGAGAGGGGAUGGAAUCCAUCAGUUCUAGUUCACAUGGACACAUGAAUGCUGUACAGCUGGAAAAGUGAGUGCUGGUCUCUGCGUGAUGUCAGGGCAGCCCUCAUGUUGUAUGGUUGUGAAUCUACUAUUUGCAUCCCGGAUGCCAUCUCUAUGAUUACUUAUGUGUGAAGUCUUCAUAGAUGUAAUUGUAUCCUAUGGUGUGUGAAAAAGACAGAGAUUGAAAGAGACAGAAUGAGACAAAGACUAAAUCAUUCAAACCAGAAUGAAAGACUUGCACAAAACCAUUCAUGAGGGUCACUUUGGGGGAUGUUUGCAAAUCUUUACCCUUUUCAUUUAGGUGAUACUUCCAUUUUUUAAAUGUGUCUGUAUUUCAUGAGAAGUUUUAAAGCAUUAACAUAAUAUGUUAAUUGGA